UCCUGACCUCAUGAUCUGCCUAUCUCGGCCUCCCAAAGUGCUAGGAUUACAGGUGUGAGCCACCAUACCUGAACUUUUACGCUCUUAAGCUCCAGGUGUUUCUUCCCUCUUGUUAAAACAGCUCAGCGUUCACCCUAAUGAUUCUGCACUUCCCAGCCCCUGUAUUCCAUCUCCUUUAUUCCCACUUCUCCAAGCUGGGGUUCCUCAUUCUCUUCAUGCAGAUAUCCUUAGAAAAGCUACUGUGUGUUGGCCAUUUAUUGGAGACAGCUCAUUUGGGCAACAGUCUUUCCACAGAUUCUAGGAAGAGUUGCCAGCUCUUCUAACAACUGAAGACCCUCCCUGUCUCCAAACCGAGAUGGGAGUUUCUCUGUCUUUGCUGUGGGCAGUCAUCCCCAAAUCUCAGCAGACUCUUCCUGCUGAUCAGUCUUUCACUUAUUGUUCUGGCCAAAAUUGCUUUCCAUCCUGCUUCCAGAGUUCCCCUUACCUUCAAGCAAUAUUGCUCUCUUCUUCAGCCCCAAAGCUGGAGGCUCCCUGGGGGUGGGGACUGGGUCCUAUUUAAUGACUCUGGCCCAGGGUAGGUGCUUCCGGAGUGUUUGUAAAUGGAUUCUCCUCCUUGUCCUCCUGCUAGGGAUCCCGAGCCCAGGGCAACACUAAUCUGCUUCUGCUCCAGCAGACAGAAGAGGCUGACUGGAAGCAUCCUCCCAGCUCUAAUCCUUGGGACCCCCCAAACAGGCAUCUGUGCUUUCUCCCUGGAAGUGAAAUGGUCAAAACACCUGUCAGAGAGUCAAGAGAGCUGUGCUCAGAUCUGACUCCACCUUGACUUUGUGUGCAACCUUGGCAGCAGCAGUGAAGUAACAUGAGCUUCAGUAGCGACAGCAGUGCCCCCAGUCAUUCAGUAGCAAUGGCAGGCUCAUGGGCUCCAUUCCAUUAUUCACAUACAGUUUGGACCCCUGUGGGUAAAAUCAGAUGAAUCUGCCAACCUUGAACCUCCAAAUCAACCCAGGUCCUCUUUAACAGUGGAAGCAGCCCUCCUCCUCUUCUGAGAAGAUCAUUCUCUUGCUGGAAGACUCGUAAUGACCUCAUCCAAGACAGUUUCCUGCAAGGGGGUGCCUCACCUCAAGGCCAACUCCAGCACCCUUCACUGCUUCCAGACCCUUACACACCCCAGGAGAGCAAGUUCAAAGUCUGACCCAAAGAGAGUCUAUGAUACCAAAGAAUAAAAAUGUUUUGUUGAUGUAUGUUGACAGAGACCUGGGGGAGUAUGUGUGGCAAUGGAACAUAAAGAUGCCAGACCAAGAAGAACAAACCAUAUUAGGCUGGGUUAAAUUUAUGGAUAUUCAUGCAUUUUCUGGAGAGUCUAGAUUUAAUAUGUUAUCUCAGCAUUUGCGAGUGACUCUAAUGGUUUCCUGGAUUGACUGACUGAAACCUGGACUUAGUGGUGGUCUACAUUCAUUGAAGUUGAGAUGCUAGAAUUUCCCUAAGAUACUAUUAAGGGAGGAAUUCGAAGUUUUAAGGAAAUAGAAAUGUUGGGAUGGAUUUACUAUGUACGGUUUUUUAAAAUAUCAUGGGGUGACAUCUUUCUUUUUUAAUUUUAAUUUUAAUUUGUUUUGAGACAGGGUCUCACUAUGUUGCGCAGGCUGAUCUGAAACUCCUGGGCUCGAUUGGUCCUCGCAUCUCAGCCUCCCAAGUAGCUAGGAUUACAGGUGCCCCACCACAGCCAGUUGUUAUGUAUGACUUGACCCUGACCCUAUCACCUUAAAUAACCCUAUCAUUUAAGUCCACCAGGGGGGCCCAGAGGACACUCCUUUCACUAAGUCACUGAGCAAGCACUGGCAGAGAAAGCACUAGUACCAUUCAAAAGCCCUGGAGUACUUUCCUCUAUAGCCUAGGUGUGACAGUGGGAAGUGCCACCACUGAAAUGGGCUUCCUGGUUUUGAUGAGGAGUGGCAGAGUCUAAGUGGCAGCACUUACUGCCAGAGAUGAGUUGGGUGCAAACUCCAUCAUAGCAGCAGAGCCAUAGCAACCACUGGAAUAUUUUGACCCACAGGGACUUUUACUGGAGGUGAAUUCAUCAUAUUGUCCCUAGAAAUCAAACAUUUGAGCAGUUUAAGUCUUACUUGCUCUGUAUAGUCAGAAAAACUUUGGGUCCAGUGAGCAGAGACCUAACUUUAAGUGGAGACAUGGUUUGGCUGUGUCCCCACCAUAAUCUCAUUUUGAAUUCCCACGUGUUGUGGGAGGGACCCAGUGGGAGCUAAUUGAAUCAUGGAGGCAGUUCCUUCCCAUGCUGUUCUUGUGAUAGUAAGUCUUACAAGAUUUGAUGGCUUUGAAAAGCUGGAGUCUCCCUGCACAAGCUCUCUCUUUGCCUGCUGCCAUCCAUGUAAGACAUGACUUGCUCCUCCUUGCCUUCCACCAUGAUUAUGAGGUUUCUCCAGCCACGUGGAACUGUUAGUCCAAUUAAAUCUCUUUCCUUUGUAAAUUGCCCAGUCUUGGCUAUGUCUUUAUCAGCAGUAUGAAAACAGACUAAUAAAGUGGUGAAACAGGCUCACCAUGCACUGGC
Long non-coding RNA from Homo sapiens (human), 2557 nucleotides. RefSeq lists it as uncharacterized. NCBI's taxonomy places the organism in Eukaryota, Metazoa, Chordata, Mammalia, Primates, Hominidae. The record is from RefSeq and is a predicted model, not a curated record. The transcript has 2 exons.